AAGAGCUUGAUGUUCUGACUGCUUAGGACACAAGACCAUGACCUGGACAGGGAGUGAGGGGAGGCUCCCCAAAAGGAAAGCUUAAAAUAAGCCCUGAAAGACAAGUAAGAGGGCGGCGGUGCCCUCUUCCUGGACGUGCAGAAGCCAUCUCAAGAUAAGUGGGGUAAAACCCAGGACGCUAUGGAAGCAGCCCUUCUCGUAGAGAAGAACCUGAA
This 215-nucleotide long non-coding RNA is filed under the name Capra hircus (goat). Its description in RNAcentral is "lncRNA (ENSCHIG00010000854.1)". Lineage: Eukaryota; Metazoa; Chordata; Mammalia; Artiodactyla; Bovidae. The record is from RNAcentral.